Molecule: ribosomal RNA, 460 nt
Filed under: uncultured bacterium
Lineage: Bacteria
Description: partial 16S ribosomal RNA
Rfam family: Bacterial small subunit ribosomal RNA
Source: RNAcentral
CCUACGGGAGGCAGCAGUGAGGAAUAUUGGUCAAUGGACGCAAGUCUGAACCAGCCAUGCCGCGUGCAGGAAGACGGCUCUAUGAGUUGUAAACUGCUUUUGUACGAGGGUAAACGCAGAUACGUGUACCUGUCUGAAAGUAUCGUACGAAUAAGGAUCGGCCAACUCCGUGCCAGCAGCCGCGGUAAUACGGAGGAUUCAAGCGUUAUCCGGAUUUAUUGGGUUUAAAGGGUGCGUAGGCGGUCGGAUAAGUUAGAGGUGAAAUCCCGAGGCUCAACUUCGGAAUUGCCUCUGAUACUGGUCGGCUAGAGAGUAGUUGCGGUAGGCGGAAUGUAUGGUGUAGCGGUGAAAUGCUUAGAGAUCAUACAGAACACCGGUUGCGAAGGCGGCUAACCGGGCUACUUCUGACGUUGAGGCGCGAAAGCGUGGGGAGCAAACAGGAUUAGAUACCCGAGUAGUC